GCUGAGGUCUAUCCCGAUAGGAUCUCCUCCGUAGGUUCGUGUCGUUGGAAACGCCUCACAGAAUAAACUUGCGGUUUCGCUUACCCACUCAACUACCUGUUAGCUCUGUGGGAUAAAGCUGCAAGACAGAU
Molecule: small nucleolar RNA, 131 nt
Filed under: Dryobates pubescens (Downy woodpecker)
Lineage: Eukaryota; Metazoa; Chordata; Aves; Piciformes; Picidae
Source: RNAcentral